UUACAUUACAAGGGUUUCCAAAAGAAGUAUGAAGUUUCAAAUUUAGAGAAAAGAUUACAAACUGUAAAGCUAGGGUUAAAAACAGCGGAAAACAUACGCGAAGAAUUACAACACGUCAUCAAGGUGGAUGUCGUGCUAAGCCCAGACACGACAUCACUCGAGAUCAUCAGUAUUGGUCGGGGACGGAUCCCAUUCCACGGACCAACCUUCUGAAAGAGCACAGGACCAGGGCAAGGGAAGAGUAGGGCCUUCAAGACAUUACCU
Molecule: long non-coding RNA, 264 nt
Filed under: Panicum hallii
Lineage: Eukaryota; Viridiplantae; Streptophyta; Magnoliopsida; Poales; Poaceae
Description: long non-coding RNA (PHAL_LNC000782)
Source: RNAcentral